Molecule: transfer-messenger RNA, 353 nt
Filed under: Alteromonadaceae
Lineage: Bacteria; Pseudomonadati; Pseudomonadota; Gammaproteobacteria; Alteromonadales
Also listed under: 1 other name
Description: Aliidiomarina sp001458075 Standard tmRNA
Rfam family: transfer-messenger RNA
About the family: Bacterial tmRNA, also known as 10Sa RNA or SsrA, is named for its dual tRNA and mRNA-like properties. Its role is to liberate the mRNA from a stalled ribosome.
Source: RNAcentral
GGGGCUGAUUUGGAUUCGACGGGAUACAGAAAGCUUAAGGUGCAUGCCGAGGUGGGGCUGGCCUCGUAAAAAGCCUCAAACUAAUAGUUGCAAACGACGACAACUACGCUUUAGCGGCUUAAUCCCCGCUAACCAUCCACUCAGGUUUUGCCUGUAGGCAGAGGUUCGGAUGGUCAUCUAUACAGGCUCGCAUGGCGGCUUCGUCCGGAGCCAAGAUGUUAAAACCAAUCGGACUCGCUCCUGAAAAGCCUGUCGCUCGGCGUUUCAGUAGUUAACUAAAAGAGCCGACUAAGCAUGUAGUACCAAGAGUGGCGGUAUAACGGACGGGGGUUCAAAUCCCCCCAGCUCCACCA